AUGGCAGCCUGCCAGAACCAGUCUCCCAGCCCGGGGUCCUGCGUGGCUCUGGGACGCAGGGUACCAUCCCAGCCCACCUUGGAGGUGCUUCCUGAGACAGAAGUUAACAUUUGUGCUACUGAAGGGAUUUCUACCUUUCCUUUGCGCUCUGGAAGUUUGUGCCUGCCCAGUGACCUUGAGCGUGAGGCCUGUGACUUCCCAUUGUCCAGGCUGAAGAAACAAACAAAAGAUUGCCUCUAUGGGAUUGUGGAAUGUUUAUUAUUCUAA
Molecule: long non-coding RNA, 267 nt
Filed under: Vulpes vulpes (red fox)
Lineage: Eukaryota; Metazoa; Chordata; Mammalia; Carnivora; Canidae
Description: lncRNA (ENSVVUG00000015585.1)
Source: RNAcentral